CAGUCGCCGCGGUAAUACGGAGGGUGCAAGCGUUAAUCGGAAUUACUGGGCGUAAAGCGUGCGUAGGCGGUUUGUUAAGUCUGCUGUGAAAUCCCCGGGCUCAACCUGGGAAUGGCAGUGGAUACUGGCAAGCUAGAGUGUGUCAGAGGAUGGUGGAAUUCCCGGUGUAGCGGUGAAAUGCGUAGAGAUCGGGAGGAACAUCAGUGGCGAAGGCGGCCAUCUGGGACAACACUGACGCUGAGGCACGAAAGCGUGGGGAGCAAACAGGAUUAGAUACCUGGGUAGUCCCUGUCUCUUAUAC
RNAcentral lists this ribosomal RNA (301 nucleotides) under uncultured bacterium. RNAcentral describes it as "partial 16S ribosomal RNA". It matches the Rfam family "Bacterial small subunit ribosomal RNA", at positions 509 to 807 of the family's 1533-position model. The record is from RNAcentral.